GACGAACGCUGGCGGCGUGCCUAAUACAUGCAAGUAGAACGCUGAAGAGAGGAGCUUGCUCUUCUUGGAAGAGUUGCGAACGGGUGAGUAACGCGUAGGUAACCUGCCUUGUAGCGGGGGAUAACUAUUGGAAACGAUAGCUAAUACCGCAUAACAAUGGGUGACCCAUGUCAUUCAUUUAAAAGGGGCAACUGCUCCACUACAAGAUGGACCUGCGUUGUAUUAGCUAGUAGGUGAGGUAACGGCUCACCUAGGCGACGAUACAUAGCCGACCUGAGAGGGUGAUCGGCUACACUGGGACUGAGACACGGCCCAGACUCCUACGGGAGGCAGCAGUAGGGAAUCUUCGGCAAUGGGGGCAACCCUGACCGAGCAACGCCGCGUGAGUGAAGAAGGUUUUCGGAUCGUAAAGCUCUGUUGUAAGUCAAGAACGAGUGUGAGAGUGGAAAGUUCACACUGUGACGGUAGCUUACCAGAAAGGGACGGCUAACUACGUGCCAGCAGCCGCGGUAAUACGUAGGUCCCGAGCGUUGUCCGGAUUUAUUGGGCGUAAAGCGAGCGCAGGCGGUUUGAUAAGUCUGAAGUUAAAGGCUGUGGCUCAACCAUAGUUUGCUUUGGAAACUGUCAAACUUGAGUGCAGAAGGGGAGAGUGGAAUUCCAUGUGUAGCGGUGAAAUGCGUAGAUAUAUGGAGGAACACCGGUGGCGAAAGCGGCUCUCUGGUCUGUAACUGACGCUGAGGCUCGAAAGCGUGGGGAGCGAACAGG
This 765-nucleotide ribosomal RNA is filed under the name uncultured Streptococcus sp. RNAcentral describes it as "bacterial SSU rRNA". It matches the Rfam family "Bacterial small subunit ribosomal RNA", at positions 28 to 776 of the family's 1533-position model. The record is from RNAcentral. Lineage: Bacteria; Bacillati; Bacillota; Bacilli; Lactobacillales; Streptococcaceae.